Molecule: unclassified non-coding RNA, 19 nt
Filed under: Mus musculus (house mouse)
Lineage: Eukaryota; Metazoa; Chordata; Mammalia; Rodentia; Muridae
Description: oocyte_clustered_small_RNA12972
Source: RNAcentral
UAAGGAUGGGUACUUAGGA